UACGAGGGAUGCAAGCGUUAUCCGGAAUUAUUGGGCGUAAAGCGUUUGUAGGCGGGCGAGUGUGUUUAAUGUUAAAUCUUAAAGCUCAACUUUGAAAUUGCGUUAAAAACUGCUUGUCUUGAGUAUGGUAGGGGUAAAGGGAAUUCCCAGUGUAGCGGUGAAAUGCGUAGAUAUUGGGAAGAACACUAAACAGCGAAGGCACUUUACUAGGCUAAUACUGACGCUGAGAAACGAAAGGUAAGGUAGCGAAACGGAUUAGAUACCCGUGUAGUCUUACCCGUAAACUAUGGACACUAAACGGUAAAUUUUUAAUUUACUGUUAAAGCUAACGCGUUAAGUGUCCCGCCUGGGGAGUAUGCUUGCAAAAGUGAAACUCAAAGGAAUUGACGGGGGCCCGCACAAGCGGUGGAGCAUGUGGUUUAAUUCGACGGUACACGAAGAACCUUACCAGGAUUUGACAUGCUAGAUAGUUGCUUGAAAGAGUAACGUGCCGUAAGGAAUCUAGACACAGGUGGUGCAUGGCUGUCGUCAGUUCGUGUUGUGAAAUGUUGGGUUAAGUCCCGCAACGAACGCAACCCUUGUCUUUAGUUAUUUUCUAAAGAGACUGCCUGUAAUAAACAGGAGGAAGGUAAGGAUGAGGUCAAGUCAUCAUGCCCCUUAUGUCCUGGGCUACACACGUGCUACAAUGGGAAAGACAAUGAGCUGCAAAUCUGUAAAUUUAAGCAAAUCUCUUAAACUUUCUCGUAGUUCGGAUUGUGGGCUGCAACUCGCCCACAUGAAGUUGGAAUCGCCAGUAAUCGCCAGUCAGCUAUAUGGCGGUGAAUCCGUUCCCGGGCCU
RNAcentral lists this ribosomal RNA (838 nucleotides) under uncultured bacterium. RNAcentral's name for it is "bacterial SSU rRNA". It matches the Rfam family "Bacterial small subunit ribosomal RNA", at positions 524 to 1381 of the family's 1533-position model. The record is from RNAcentral.